UCAAGCGAUAGGUAAGGGCAUUUGGUGAAUGCCUUGGCAAUCAGAGGCGAAGAAGGACGUGGUACACUGCGAAAAGUUACGGGGAGUUGUGAACAAGCAUUGAUCCGUAAAUAUCCGAAUGGGGAAACCCACAGAGCAAUCUGUACUGUAUGAUGAAUAAAUAGUCAUGCAGGGCGAACGCAGGGAACUGAAACAUCUAAGUACCUGUAGGAAAGGAAAUCAACCGAGACUCCGAAAGUAGUGGCGAGCGAAAUCGGACCAGCCGAUGGAUAGUCAGUAAAGAAUCAGAAUUACCUGGAAAGGUAAGCCGGAGAGGGUGACAGCCCCGUACGAGUAGAAAAGCUGACUGUUCUUGAGUAAGGCGGAGCACGAGAAAUUCUGUCUGAAAAUGGGGAGACCACUCUCCAAGGCUAAGUACUACUGAUUGACCGAUAGUGAACAAGUACCGUGAGGGAAAGGUGAAAAGCACCCCUAUAAGGGGAGUGAAAGAGAACCUGAAACCGGAUGCCUACAAGCAGUCGGAGGGUCUAUAAGGCCUGACGGCGUACCUUUUGUAUAAUGGGUCAGCGACUUAAUUUAUGUAGCAAGCUUAAGCCGAUAGGUGUAGGCGUAGAGAAAUCGAGUGUUAACAGCGCGUUAAGUUACAUGAAUUAGACCCGAAACCGAGUGAUCUAGCCAUGAUCAGGUUGAAGGUUGGGUAACACCAACUGGAGGACCGAACCCACUCCCGUUGAAAAGGUAGGGGAUGAAUUGUGGCUAGGGGUGAAAGGCCAAUCAAACUCGGAAAUAGCUGGUUCUCCGCGAAAACUAUUUAGGUAGUGCGGUGAGCGGACACCUUGAGGGGUAGAGCACUGGAAGAGCUAAGGGGGAGCGAUCCUUACUAAACUUUACCAAACUCCGAAUACUCAAGAGUGAUACUCACCAGACAGACAUUAGGUGCUAAGGUCUAGUGUCGAGAGGGAAAGAGCCCAGACCGCCAAUUAAGGUCCCAAAAUUAUGGCUAAGUGGUAAAGGAAGUGAAACGUCCAAAACAGUCAGGAGGUUGGCUUAGAAGCAGCCAUCCUUUAAAGAAAGCGUAAUAGCUCACUGAUCUAAACAAGACGUCUUGCGCCGAAGAUGUAACGGGGCUAAAGCCAUAUACCGAAGUUGCGGAUUUACACGUUAAAGUGUAAGUGGUAGCGGAGCGUUCUGUAAGCCUGCGAAGGUGUACCGUAAGGUAUGCUGGAGGUAUCAGAAGUGAGAAUGCUGACAUGAGUAGCGAAAAGAAGAGUGAGAGACUCUUCCGCUGAAAGUCCAAGGUUUCCUGCGUAAAGCUAAUCUGCGCAGGGUUAGUCGGUCCCUAAGGCGAGGCAGAGAUGCGUAGUCGAUGGCAAUCAGGUUAAUAUUCCUGAACCGGCCCGGAAGUGACGGAUUGAGUAAAUUGUAAGUUCUUAUUGGAUUGAGCUUGCAGUGAAUCAGUCCCAGGAAAUAGCCCGGGCUAAGACCGUACCCGAAACCGACACAGGUGGACAGGUAGAGAAUACCAAAGCGCUUGAGAGAACUAUGUUGAAGGAACUAGGCAAAAUACUUGCGUAACUUCGGGAUAAGCAAGCCCCAUUUUAAGGCAACUUAGGGUGGGGGGCACAUACUAGGGGGUAGCGACUGUUUACUAAAAACACAGGGCUCUGCUAAAUUGAAAGAUGAAGUAUAGGGUCUGACGCCUGCCCGGUGCUGGAAGGUUAAGGAGAGAUGUGCAAGCAUUGAACUGAAGCCCCAGUAAACGGCGGCCGUAACUAUAACGGUCCUAAGGUAGCGAAAUUCCUUGUCGGGUAAGUUCCGACC
RNAcentral lists this ribosomal RNA (1821 nucleotides) under human gut metagenome. RNAcentral's name for it is "bacterial LSU rRNA". It matches the Rfam family "Bacterial large subunit ribosomal RNA", at positions 1 to 1988 of the family's 2925-position model. The record is from RNAcentral.